AAUACCCAGUUAAUAAAAGUUGAAGACAUGGAGGCUCCAGUAUUUAAGGCUUUACUUCAUUUUAUAUAUUGGGAUUCAUUACCUGACCUGGAAGAGCUUACUGGUUUGAACUCAAAGUGGGCCUCAACUUUGAUGUCUCAGCAUCUGCUAGCAGCAGCUGAUAGGUAUGGUUUGGACAGGCUCAGAGUGCUUUGUGAGGCCAAUCUCUGUGAGGAUGUGGCUAUAAACACAGUGGC
This 236-nucleotide unclassified non-coding RNA is filed under the name Hevea brasiliensis (rubber tree). Lineage: Eukaryota; Viridiplantae; Streptophyta; Magnoliopsida; Malpighiales; Euphorbiaceae. The record is from RNAcentral.